AGAGUUUGAUCAUGGCUCAGGACGAACGCUGGUGGCGUGCUUAACACAUGCAAGUCGAGCGGAAAGGCCCUUUCGGGGGUACUCGAGCGGCGAACGGGUGAGUAACACGUGAGUAAUCUGCCCUUGGCUUUGGGAUAACUACCGGAAACGGUGGCUAAUACCGGAUACGACCACUCCUUGCAUGAGGUGGUGGUGGAAAGUUUUUUCGGCCAGGGAUGUGCUCGCGGCCUAUCAGCUUGUUGGUGGGGUAAUGGCCUACCAAGGCUUCGACGGGUAGCCGGCCUGAGAGGGUGACCGGCCACACUGGGACUGAGACACGGCCCAGACUCCUACGGGAGGCAGCAGUGGGGAAUAUUGGACAAUGGGCGGAAGCCUGAUCCAGCAACGCCGCGUGAGGGAUGACGGCCUUCGGGUUGUAAACCUCUUUCAGUACCGACGAAGCGCCGAUGAUGGUGGUGACGGUAGGUACAGAAGAAGCACCGGCCAACUACGUG
Molecule: ribosomal RNA, 494 nt
Filed under: uncultured bacterium
Lineage: Bacteria
Description: bacterial SSU rRNA
Rfam family: Bacterial small subunit ribosomal RNA
Source: RNAcentral